GAUUUCUGUAGAUUGUAUCCUGAAACUUUACUGAAUUCAUUUAUUAAAUCUAAGAGUUCUUUGGUGGAAAAUAUGUUUUAAUAGGUUAAGGAAAUGGAAGGGAUUCUGAAGAGAAGAUAUCCCAAUUCUUUACCUGCUUUAAUAUUGGCUGCAUCAGCAGCUGGUGAUACAGUGGAUAAAAAUACAGUGGAAUUUAUGGAGAAAAGGAUAAAAAAGCUAGAAGCUGAUCUGGAGGGCAAAGAUGAAGACGCAAAGAAAAGCCUUCGUACCAUGGAACAACAGUUUCAGAAAAUGAAGAUUCAGUAUGAACAAAGACUAGAGCAGCAGGAGCAGCUACUUGCCUGCAAAUUGAAUCAACAUGACUCUCCCAGAAUUAAAGCCCUAGAGAAGGAACUUGAUGACAUCAAGGAAGCCCAUCAGAUCACUGUAAGAAACCUUGAAGCCGAAAUAGACGUUCUUAAACAUCAGAAUGCUGAAUUAGACGUCAAGAAAAAUGAUAAAGAUGAUAAAGAUUUUCAGUCUAUAGAAUUCCAGGUGGAACAGGCUCAUGCUAAAGCUAAAUUAGUAAGACUCAAUGAAGAACUGGCUGCAAAAAAGAGAGAAAUACAAGACCUCUCAAAAACUGUGGAGAGGCUUCAGAAAGACAGAAGAAUGAUGCUAUCAAAUCAGAACUCAAAGGGCAGAGAGGAAAUGUCUGCCAAAAGGGCAAAGAAAGAUGUUUUGCACUCAAGUAAAGGAAAUGCUAACUCCUUCCCUGGAACCCUGGACAGCAAGCUGUACCAACCACAUACUUUCACUGAUUCCCAUGUUUCAGAAGUUUUACAAGAAAACUACAGAUUAAAAAAUGAGCUAGAAGGAUUAAUUUCAGAGAAGAAUGAACUGAAGAUGAAAUCUGAAGCAGCGAUGAAUCAAUUUGAAAACUCCAUGAGAAGGGUCAAGGAAGAUACUGCAGCACACAUUGCAUCCCUCAAAGCAUCUCAUCAGAGAGAAAUAGAGAAACUCCUUUGCCAAAAUGCAGUAGAAAAUUCUUCUUCCAAAGUAGCUGAACUAAAUCGUAAAAUAGCAACUCAAGAGGUACUUAUAAGACAUUUCCAAAGUCAAGUUAAUGAGCUGCAGAGUAAACAAGAGUCUCUCGUAGUUUCUGAAGUUCGAGAAGAAAUUCUACAGAAAGAGAUUACAAAACUCUUAGAAGAAUUGAGAGAAGCCAAAGAAAACCAUACACCAGAGAUGAAACAUUUCGUGGGCUUAGAAAAGAAAAUUAAGCAGAUGGAAAUGAGACAUGCACAAAGAGAACAGGAACUUCAACAGAUAAUACAGCAAACACACCAAGUAGUAGAAACUGAGCAAAACAAAGAAGUUGAAAAAUGGAAAAGACUGGCACAGUUAAAGAAUCGUGAGCUGGAGAAGUUCCGCACAGAACUAGACUCAAUAUUAGAUGUUCUCCGAGAGCUGCACCGGCAAGGAGUGGUUGUGCCAGUUGCUUUUGCAGAUGAAAUGAAUGCACCAGAGUAUUAAUAGAAAUUCAGAUUUCAUAAUGACCUUAUUAAAAGGCCUGAAGAUGGAUGGGAUUGUGCCACUGUCAGGACAGCUUAUGAAAAACAAGUGUUCCAAUAUGUUUCCAGAAAGCAAA
This 1630-nucleotide small RNA is filed under the name Pan troglodytes (chimpanzee). RNAcentral describes it as "retained intron". Lineage: Eukaryota; Metazoa; Chordata; Mammalia; Primates; Hominidae. The record is from RNAcentral.